GAGAACGCCACCCUUCCCCUCACGCAACUCCUUCUCGACAUCAAACUCAUGUAGCCGAUGAAGAUGCCAAGCGUCAAUACGCAGAGCAAAAGAUUCUUGAAGAACCCAUUACUGACACACAAAAAAUAAAACUUGAAGAGCAACCAACUAAGAGGGGCAUAGAGAAAAUCACGCAUGACCUGAAUGCAAAUGCCAAUGGAGAGUUAUCUGCCAAGGAGGUAAAAAAGUUGGAGGAAAGCACAACGGAACCCGAGAAAACAGAGAAUGAAGCAACCCCUCGCAUAAACCGUGGUCCCGAAGCCACUGCUGACGGCUUGAAGGAUGAGAAGAAAGGCGGACAUGAAGAGGAGGAUGGCGUUAAUCGAAAAUCGCUUCCUGCGGAAUCUUCAGAGUCAUUGUUCUCUCUAUCCAUUGAUUCUCGAAAGCAUGUUUCUGCAGCUGAAAAAGCCGAGCAUGAAGUUGACAGCCCAAUGCCACCCAGGGAUGCU
Long non-coding RNA from Neltuma alba, 488 nucleotides. RefSeq lists it as uncharacterized. The transcript has 3 exons. The record is from RefSeq and is a predicted model, not a curated record. Lineage: Eukaryota; Viridiplantae; Streptophyta; Magnoliopsida; Fabales; Fabaceae.